CCCUUAGAGUUUGAUCCUGGCUCAGAGCGAACGCUAGCGGCGAGCUUAACACAUGCAAGUCGAACGCUUGGCUUCGGCCAAGAGUGGCGAACGGGUGAGUAACACGUGGGUAAUCUGCCCUGGGGUGGGGGAUAACUGGGGGAAACUCCAGCUAAUACCGCAUAUGGUCUACGGAUCAAAGUCUUCGGACGCCCUGGGAUGAGCCCGCGGCCCAUUAUCUAAUCCUUGUUGGUGGGGUAACGGCCUACCAAGGGUACGAUGGGUAGCUGGUCUGAGAGGAUGAUCAGCCACACUGGGACUGAGACACGGCCCAGACUCCUACGGGAGGCAGCAGUGGGGAAUAUUGCGCAAUGGGCGAAAGCCUGACGCAGCUACGCCGCGUGGGUGAUGAAGGCCUUCGGGUUGUAAAGCCCUGUCGUGAGGGAAGAAUCAAAUGACGGUACCUCACAAGAAAGCGCCGGCUAACUCCGUGCCAGCAGCCGCGGUAAUACGGAGGGCGCGAGCGUUGCUCGGAAUCACUGGGCGUAAAGCGUACGCAGGCGGAUCGGUAAGUCGGGUGUGAAAGCCCGGGGCUCAACCCCGGAAUUGCAUUCGAAACUGUCGGUCUUGAGUACGGGAGAGGGAAGCGGAAUUCCUGGUGUAGAGGUGAAAUUCGUAGAUAU
Molecule: ribosomal RNA, 662 nt
Filed under: uncultured bacterium
Lineage: Bacteria
Description: bacterial SSU rRNA
Rfam family: Bacterial small subunit ribosomal RNA
Source: RNAcentral